AACGCUAGCUACAGGCUUAACACAUGCAAGUCGAGGGGCAUCAGGAAGAAAGCUUGCUUUCUUUGCCGGCGACCGGCGCACGGGUGAGUAACACGUAUCCAACCUGCCCUUUACUCGGGGAUAGCCUUUCGAAAGAAAGAUUAAUACCCGAUAGUAUAAUGAUUCCGCAUGGUUUCAUUAUUAAAGGAUUCCGGUAAAGGAUGGGGAUGCGUUCCAUUAGGUUGUUGGUGAGGUAACGGCUCACCAAGCCUUCGAUGGAUAGGGGUUCUGAGAGGAAGGUCCCCCACAUUGGAACUGAGACACGGUCCAAACUCCUACGGGAGGCAGCAGUGAGGAAUAUUGGUCAAUGGGCGCUAGCCUGAACCAGCCAAGUAGCGUGAAGGAUGAAGGCUCUAUGGGUCGUAAACUUCUUUUAUAUAAGAAUAAAGUGCAGUAUGUAUACUGUUUUGUAUGUAUUAUAUGAAUAAGGAUCGGCUAACUCCGUGCCAGCAGCCGCGGUAAUACGGAGGAUCCGAGCGUUAUCCGGAUUUAUUGGGUUUAAAGGGAGCGUAGGUGGACUGGUAAGUCAGUUGUGAAAGUUUGCGGCUCAACCGUAAAAUUGCAGUUGAUACUGUCAGUCUUGAGUACAGUAGAGGUGGGCGGAAUUCGUGGUGUAGCGGUGAAAUGCUUAGAUAUCACGAAGAACUCCGAUUGCGAAGGCAGCUCACUGGACUGCAACUGACACUGAUGCUCGAAAGUGUGGGUAUCAAACAGGAUUAGAUACCCUGGUAGUCCACACAGUAAACGAUGAAUACUCGCUGUUUGCGAUAUACAGUAAGCGGCCAAGCGAAAGCAUUAAGUAUUCCACCUGGGGAGUACGCCGGCAACGGUGAAACUCAAAGGAAUUGACGGGGGCCCGCACAAGCGGAGGAACAUGUGGUUUAAUUCGAUGAUACGCGAGGAACCUUACCCGGGCUUAAAUUGCAGUGGAAUGAUGUGGAAACAUGUCAGUGAGCAAUCACCGCUGUGAAGGUGCUGCAUGGUUGUCGUCAGCUCGUGCCGUGAGGUGUCGGCUUAAGUGCCAUAACGAGCGCAACCCUUAUCUUCAGUUACUAACAGGUCAUGCUGAGGACUCUGGAGAGACUGCCGUCGUAAGAUGUGAGGAAGGUGGGGAUGACGUCAAAUCAGCACGGCCCUUACGUCCGGGGCUACACACGUGUUACAAUGGGGGGUACAGAAGGCAGCUAGCGGGUGACCGUAUGCUAAUCCCAAAAUCCUCUCUCAGUUCGGAUCGAAGUCUGCAACCCGACUUCGUGAAGCUGGAUUCGCUAGUAAUCGCGCAUCAGCCACGGCGCGGUGAAUACGUUCCCGGGCCUUGUACACACCGCCCGUCAAGCCAUGGGAGCCGGGGGUACCUGAAGUACGUAACCGCAAGGAUCGUCCUAGGGUAAAACUGGUGACUGG
This 1443-nucleotide ribosomal RNA is filed under the name uncultured organism. Its description in RNAcentral is "SSU rRNA". It matches the Rfam family "Bacterial small subunit ribosomal RNA". The record is from RNAcentral.